This is a non-coding RNA of Ilyonectria destructans, 105 nucleotides long. NCBI's taxonomy places the organism in Eukaryota, Fungi, Ascomycota, Sordariomycetes, Hypocreales, Nectriaceae. The record is from the annotation of a GenBank genome assembly.
GGCUUUCUGGCCGAGCGGUCUAAGGCGCUGUGUUCAGGUUGAUUAGUCAACUUAUUACAAUUCGCAGUCUCGUAAGAGGCUUGGGUUCGAAUCCCAAGGAAGUCA